CAUAUGGUUAAUUUUGUUUGUUACAACAAUAACUAUUCACUUGUUAUGGUUGUUAGAAAAUAAAGUAUAUUUUUAAAUUAUAAAAGUCAGAAACCUAUACUUGUAUGUAUUUACAGUGUAAAUGUCUCUGAUAAAAAUCAAAAAUAUUUGUUGCUGAAUUUGUUCUAUUCAGUAUAUUUUUUCGUGCCUUUUUUUACUCGUGUCAUUCGUCACAACUAGGUAGUUUCCGUACCUUCAGCGGAUUCGCCCGAGGGUUGUCGAUUGUUACUUGUGUCAUUCGUCGCAACUCGGCCAAUUCCGUACUUUCAGCGGAUUCACCCGAUGAUUGCCGAUUGUUAUUUGCGUCUAUCUGACCAUUUUUAAUCCUGUCCAGUCUUCCAUUACAUUAUCUUGUAUUUUAUAUGAUCAAACAUUCUGUGAUAGAUAUGUGUUAUGCAGCUUUUGUCUAUUUUGAUAUUUAUAUUAAAAAAUAUGAUUUAAUAUACUGUUUCAUUUUUUGAUUUUUACCAUGACAGUGUCACCUAGGAAUAAAUAUAUAUAUAUAUAGGAAGAUGUGGUAUAAGUACCUAUAAGACAUCUCUCUAUUCAAGUCACAAUUUAUAUAAGGAAAUCAUAAUAGGUCAAGGUACGGUCUUCAACACGGAGCCUCGGCUCACACCGAUCAACAAGCUAUAAAGGGCCCCAAAAUUACUAGUGUAAAACCAUUCAAACGGGAAAACCAACGGUCAAAUUUAUAUAAAAAAAAACGAGAAACACUUAUGAACCACAUCAAAAACGAUAACUACUGAACAUCAUAUUCCGGAC
This 804-nucleotide long non-coding RNA is filed under the name Mytilus galloprovincialis (Mediterranean mussel). Lineage: Eukaryota; Metazoa; Mollusca; Bivalvia; Mytilida; Mytilidae. The record is from RNAcentral.